RNAcentral lists this ribosomal RNA (253 nucleotides) under uncultured bacterium. Its description in RNAcentral is "partial 16S ribosomal RNA". It matches the Rfam family "Bacterial small subunit ribosomal RNA", at positions 524 to 776 of the family's 1533-position model. The record is from RNAcentral.
UACAGAGGUCUCAAGCGUUGUUCGGAUUCAUUGGGCGUAAAGGGCGCGUAGGCGGGCCAGCCAGUCUGUGGUGAAAGCCCCCGGCUUAACCGGGGAAGUGCCGUGGAUACUGCUGGCCUCGAGGAGGGUAGGGGCACCUGGAACGGUCGGUGGAGCGGUGAAAUGCGUUGAUAUCGACCGGAACUCCGGUGGCGAAGGCGAGGUGCUGGGCCCUUUCUGACGCUGAUGCGCGAAAGCCAGGGGAGCAAACGGG